Molecule: ribosomal RNA, 404 nt
Filed under: uncultured archaeon
Lineage: Archaea
Description: bacterial SSU rRNA
Rfam family: Archaeal small subunit ribosomal RNA
Source: RNAcentral
ACCGGGAGAGGCGAGAGGUACUUCUGGGGUAGGGGUAAAAUCCUGUAAUCCUAGAAGGACCACCGGUGGCGAAGGCGUCUCGCUAGAACGGAUCCGACGGUGAGGGACGAAGCCCUGGGUCGCAAACGGGAUUAGAUACCCCGGUAGUCCAGGGUGUAAACGCUGCAGACUUGGUGUUGGGGCCCUACGGGGGCGUUCAGUGCCGGAGAGAAGUUGUUAAGUCUGCUACUUGGGGAGUACGUCCGCAAGGAUGAAACUUAAAGGAAUUGGGCGGGGGAGCAACCCGCAACGGGAGGAGCGUGUCGGUUUAAUUGGAUUCAACAACCGGAAAACUCACCAGCGGCGACUGUUACAUGAAAGUCAGGCCGAUGACCUUACUAGAUUUUCAGAGGGGUGGUGCAUGG